Molecule: long non-coding RNA, 2447 nt
Filed under: Prunus dulcis (almond)
Lineage: Eukaryota; Viridiplantae; Streptophyta; Magnoliopsida; Rosales; Rosaceae
Description: sRNA ncRNA
Source: RNAcentral
UGGUUUUAAAAUUGGCUACAAACCACGUCAGUGGUUAUAAAAGCGACGUCUUAAGGCAUCUAAUACGGUGGUAAUCCAAAACAUAUUUCAAAAACACGUCGGUUGACAAGAAGAACCGACGUGCAUCCAAAACACGCUCAACACUGUUUCAGUCAAGUUGUCACUCUCAGCUUUACCACCAAAAACUAAAGUUGUCUUUCUCAACCUAAUUUUUCACGCCCCGCUCAAUGUUCUAAGUUUCCCUCUCCGUGAAAAUUCCCUUCCCUCUCGAUGAAGCCCUCUCUCCCUAUCUGAGUUCAAACCCUCUCUCUCUCUCUCUCUCCCUCUCUAUGACAUCUCUGCACCUAAACCCUCUCUCCCCAGCUCAAUCUUUUCUAAGCCGACUCUCACAUCUCAGAGAGACAGAGGCAACGAGGAGGUGGACUUCGGUGUCGGCUUCGUCACGAGGAUUGACUUCGGCGCCUUCUUCUGGAUCUUCGUCGGCGCCAUCUUCUUGAUAGUCGUCAUCGCAGGUAACUUCUCUUCGAGGUCCAGAGAGCGAAUCAGAAAGAGAGUCGAAAAGGUGAUGGCCAUUGGUGUCAUCGACAGAGUGAACGUCGUCAUCGCGCUCGUCGCGGUCACGGUCAUCACGGUCCUAGCCUUUUAGAGAAGAAGAUCGACAAAGAGGUUUCAUUUCAUUUUCCUCGACUCUCCGACGCCGACCCCAACCCCAAAUCCAAAUCCUAUCUUCGAUCUCGGACCUCAAGGUAAGGCUCUCUCUUUCUCUCUGUGCUACCACUCAUGUUUUAAAGAUUUUUGUGAUUCUAAUAUUACAGAGAGAUUUUAGAGAUUUCAGUUAUAUUGCUCUUUGAGUUUUGAGUGAUAGUUUAGUUUCUGUAAGAUUCCCUUAGUAUUUUAAUAAAUUCACUGGUGACUAUUUAACCCAUAUGUUUUGUUUGUAUUGUUUUUUGUUCUUCUGUAUAAGAUCCAUAUCUCUUGUUUGGGAGUCUGCAGGAUCUUGUGGACUUGCUGGAAUUGAAAAUGCCUCUCAUCUAUAAUGUAUGUUUAAUGUUUUGAUUUUUAUUUAAAUCAUAUGAAUUCCUAAGUGCAUUGACAACUAAAAUUAAUUGAUUGGUUUGUGUAGCAAUAGUCUAACUUGUGGAUUGGAUUUGCUUGCAAGUUUGGAUAUGAAUAUAUGCUUAUCAGAAUAGCUAUAGCUUGCAAGUUGGAACCACAUUAUUAAUUAUGUGGAUAUAAUUUUAUUUUUUCACCACCCUUUCAGUAUGUAUAUCUUUUGCAUUGUUGGGAAAUCUGAUUAGAUUUAUAUUUUCCUUUUAGAUCCAUAGACAGCAGGGGAGUGGCUGGACCAAGAUUCCAUAGAGUAAUGGUUUAUGAUUUUCCUCAAAUGUUUUAAUUCAUGCUUUUAUAUGCACCUUUAAUACAAUUCAUCUCACGGGACUAAUAUCAAGCACAGUACUUUUGUUAACUAAGUUCCCAAGUUGUUAAUGCCUAUAUGUUUUUUUUAACAGGGACUUGGGGUUUUACAAUUUAACUGGGGAAUCCCACAAUCCAUGAGUGGUUUAAAUUUAAUUCACUUGUAAGGAUGAUACUGCAGUUGUUCUCAAGUCAAGGCUGAGGCAUCUAUUUUAUUGUUGGUGGACCACAUAUUCAACAAUAUUUUUUGACACUUGAAUUUCUGUGACUGUCCACCCUUGCCAUUUCAUUUCUUAACUUCAUGUUUUGUAAUGAUUUUCCUCAGGUAAUUUCUAAACUACAGUACCUUGACCUUUGGGGGAGUAAAAUAUCCGACCAAGGUACAAUUCCUUGACCUUUGGCUCUCCUUUCAUUUUAUUUUGUGCUUGCUCAUUUCAGUUUUAGGCUUAAUCACCCAGACCAUAUCUUCUAAACUUCGUUUUCUUUUCUCACAUGGUUAUCAAGUUUGGCUUAAUCACCUAGGCUUUUUGUUCUGACAGAUAAGUUUGCAUUAAUUUUAUUGUGAUAUCCAAUUACAGGUAGUUGCUGGAUUAGCAGCUGAUGGAAGGCAAAUUGUUGGCAGGACCAAGUCUGAAGCUAACAACUAUGAAAGCCUACAUGAUAGUAUAUAUGUCAUUAACUUUCUCUCCGAAUCUCUCUCUCAGUAAAGCAGGUAGUACUGGAUUAGUCCUCAAGCUGCUGUCAUUCUAAAGUUGCAUAGAUCUUUUUGCUAAGGUUAAGGUUGUUGCUAAACAGGUUUAUGUUUAAGAGUAUUGGGGUCCAGGUCCUUUCGACACCACCAACUUGAAAAAUGUUUGCAAGAAGGCAGAGCUAAGUCAACCCAAUAACAAAUUGAUGAAGUUAAGAUUAGUAGAAUUUGUGAGGUCCAUUAUUUCUGAUUAUAGGUAGGAAGUAUGUAUGUAAUAGAAUAAAGAUUGGUUGACUAUGUAAUAACUAUUGAAUCUUCAAGUUUUAUGAAAGAAAUAAUUUUUGAG